This 648-nucleotide unclassified non-coding RNA is filed under the name Hevea brasiliensis (rubber tree). Lineage: Eukaryota; Viridiplantae; Streptophyta; Magnoliopsida; Malpighiales; Euphorbiaceae. The record is from RNAcentral.
AUCAAAGCUCCUGUUCCUCUAGUAAAUCCCUCUCUGUCUAAAUAUUAAUUAAUGUCUAGAUACUGUUUUUUUCUCGGUUUAUAUUGAUUAAUGGCUUGUUAGGCGUCUCAAAAAGUCUAUAUUGUUGUCUCUGAAUUUUUCUGUGUUCGCAGAUUGAUACUGUAAUUGAGGGAUUGUGCUUGCAAGAGUUUGGUGUGAAUUGUUUCUAUAAUUUCUUUUUCUAAUAUUUGACCCAUUUUUCAUUUGAGCUUUUGAUCUCGAUCUAUGAUUUUCCCCUUUUUCUCUCAUCCAGCAUCGAUGAUCCUGUGGUGGACUGUUGUUCAUCUGGGGUAUUGACAAAUUGGACCUUUUUAUCUUUUCCUUUCCGGUUGCAUGCGGAGAAAAUUGAGGAAAUGAGAAGAUGAAUAGGAAUUCAUAUUAUAUAUGCAGUCAUCCAUACGCACAUGAGCUUCUUUUUUUUUUUUUUUUGAAAUAAACUUGUUUGGGAUUAAGGCUUAUUCUUGUUGUUUUGAAAAGAAACUUGUCACUCUACUAGUUUUAGACAUGAUACAAAUACGAAUGCAUUGUCUCUCUUGACAAUUUUGAAUCCAAUGCUUAAGCAUUCAUCUUGAAUGUAAUACAGUUCAAAUUGUGUCAUAUAGAAGGUUG